RNAcentral lists this long non-coding RNA (211 nucleotides) under Gossypium raimondii (Peruvian cotton). RNAcentral describes it as "long non-coding RNA (GRAI_LNC003912)". The record is from RNAcentral. Lineage: Eukaryota; Viridiplantae; Streptophyta; Magnoliopsida; Malvales; Malvaceae.
UGAACUUGAGAUGCACCACAGCAGUUGUGCUGGAAACUGCUAAGUACUGCGCGAAAGAAAAAUCAACCGCAUAAAUUUAUAUAGAUGGAUAGAUAUCCCAAACUCGCCAAAAAAAAAAAAAAAGGUUAUAUAUUGCCAAAGUAUAAUACCUCGUCUCAUCUCAUAAACAUAUAUAAAUUACAUUCAACCACAAUCUUUAAGCCACUGUUUU